GGGUUGUGAGGUUAAGCGACUAAGCGUACACGGUGGAUGCCCUGGCAGUCAGAGGCGAUGAAGGGCGUGCUAAUCUGCGAUAAGCGCCGGUAAGGUGAUAUGAACCGUUAUAACCGGCGAUACCCGAAUGGGGAAACCCAGUGUGAUUCGUCACACUAUCAUUAACUGAAUCCAUAGGUUAAUGAGGCGAACCGGGGGAACUGAAACAUCUAAGUACCCCGAGGAAAAGAAAUCAACCGAGAUUCCCCCAGUAGCGGCGAGCGAACGGGGAGGAGCCCAGAGCCUGAAUCAGCAUGUGUGUUAGUGGAAGCGUCUGGAAAGGUGCGCGAUACAGGGUGACAGCCCCGUACACAAAAGCGCAUGUGCUGUGAGCUCGAUGAGUAGGGCGGGACACGUGAUAUCCUGUCUGAAUAUGGGGGGACCAUCCUCCAAGGCUAAAUACUCCUGACUGACCGAUAGUGAACCAGUACCGUGAGGGAAAGGCGAAAAGAACCCCGGCGAGGGGAGUGAAAAAGAACCUGAAACCGUGUACGUACAAGCAGUGGGAGCACAGGUUUACCUGUGUGACUGCGUACCUUUUGUAUAAUGGGUCAGCGACUUAUAUUCUGUAGCAAGGUUAACCGUAUAGGGGAGCCGUAGGGAAACCGAGUCUUAACCGGGCGUUAAGUUGCAGGGUAUAGACCCGAAACCCGGUGAUCUAGCCAUGGGCAGGUUGAAGGUUGGGUAACACUAACUGGAGGACCGAACCGACUAAUGUUGAAAAAUUAGCGGAUGACCUGUGGCUGGGGGUGAAAGGCCAAUCAAACCGGGAGAUAGCUGGUUCUCCCCGAAAGCUAUUUAGGUAGCGCCUCGUGAAUUCAUCUCCGGGGGUAGAGCACUGUUUCGGCUAGGGGGCCAUCCCGGCUUACCAACCCGAUGCAAACUGCGAAUACCGGAGAAUGUUAUCACGGGAGACACACGGCGGGUGCUAACGUCCGUCGUGAAGAGGGAAACAACCCAGACCGCCAGCUAAGGUCCCAAAGUCAUGGUUAAGUGGGAAACGAUGUGGGAAGGCCCAGACAGCCAGGAUGUUGGCUUAGAAGCAGCCAUCAUUUAAAGAAAGCGUAAUAGCUCACUGGUCGAGUCGGCCUGCGCGGAAGAUGUAACGGGGCUAAACCAUGCACCGAAGCUGCGGCAGCGAACGUAUCACCCAAGACAACUUUACGGAGUUGACGAUUGACGGAGCGAAGCGACGUCAAAGCGUUCAUUAAAGUCGAGUUGGCUUAGGGAUACGUUCGUUGGGUAGGGGAGCGUUCUGUAAGCCUGUGAAGGUGUGUCGUGAGGCAUGCUGGAGGUAUCAGAAGUGCGAAUGCUGACAUAAGUAACGAUAAAGCGGGUGAAAAGCCCGCUCGCCGGAAGACCAAGGGUUCCUGUCCAACGUUAAUCGGGGCAGGGUGAGUCGACCCCUAAGGCGAGGCCGAAAGGCGUAGUCGAUGGGAAACGGGUUAAUAUUCCCGUACUUGGUGUUACUGCGAAGGGGGGACGGAGAAGGCUAUGUUGGCCGGGCGACGGUUGUCCCGGUUUAAGCGUGUAGGUGUGUGUUCCAGGUAAAUCCGGUUCACUUUAACACUGAGGCGUGACGACGAGGCACUACGGUGCUGAAGCAACAAAUGCCCUGCUUCCAGGAAAAGCCUCUAAGCAUCAGGUAACAUCAAAUCGUACCCCAAACCGACACAGGUGGUCAGGUAGAGAAUACCAAGGCGCUUGAGAGAACUCGGGUGAAGGAACUAGGCAAAAUGGUGCCGUAACUUCGGGAGAAGGCACGCUGACACGUAGGUGAAGUGAUUUACUCAUGGAGCUGAAGUCAGUCGAAGAUACCAGCUGGCUGCAACUGUUUAUUAAAAACACAGCACUGUGCAAACACGAAAGUGGACGUAUACGGUGUGACGCCUGCCCGGUGCCGGAAGGUUAAUUGAUGGGGUCAGCGCAAGCGAAGCUCCUGAUCGAAGCCCCGGUAAACGGCGGCCGUAACUAUAACGGUCCUAAGGUAGCGAAAUUCCUUGUCGGGUAAGUUCCGACCUGCACGAAUGGCGUAAUGAUGGCCAGGCUGUCUCCACCCGAGACUCAGUGAAAUUGAACUCGCUGUGAAGAUGCAGUGUACCCGCGGCAAGACGGAAAGACCCCGUGAACCUUUACUAUAGCUUGACACUGAACAUUGAGCCUUGAUGUGUAGGAUAGGUGGGAGGCUUUGAAGUGUGGACGCCAGUCUGCAUGGAGCCGACCUUGAAAUACCACCCUUUAAUGUUUGAUGUUCUAACGUGGACCCGUAAUCCGGGUUGCGGACAGUGUCUGGUGGGUAGUUUGACUGGGGCGGUCUCCUCCUAAAGAGUAACGGAGGAGCACGAAGGUUGGCUAAUCCUGGUCGGACAUCAGGAGGUUAGUGCAAUGGCAUAAGCCAGCUUGACUGCGAGCGUGACGGCGCGAGCAGGUGCGAAAGCAGGUCAUAGUGAUCCGGUGGUUCUGAAUGGAAGGGCCAUCGCUCAACGGAUAAAAGGUACUCCGGGGAUAACAGGCUGAUACCGCCCAAGAGUUCAUAUCGACGGCGGUGUUUGGCACCUCGAUGUCGGCUCAUCACAUCCUGGGGCUGAAGUAGGUCCCAAGGGUAUGGCUGUUCGCCAUUUAAAGUGGUACGCGAGCUGGGUUUAGAACGUCGUGAGACAGUUCGGUCCCUAUCUGCCGUGGGCGCUGGAGAACUGAGGGGGGCUGCUCCUAGUACGAGAGGACCGGAGUGGACGCAUCACUGGUGUUCGGGUUGUCAUGCCAAUGGCACUGCCCGGUAGCUAAAUGCGGAAGAGAUAAGUGCUGAAAGCAUCUAAGCACGAAACUUGCCCCGAGAUGAGUUCUCCCUGAGACUUAGAGUCUCCUGAAGGAACGUUGAAGACGACGACGUUGAUAGGCCGGGUGUGUAAGCGCAGCGAUGCGUUGAGCUAACCGGUACUAAUGAACCGUGAGGCUUAACCUUACAACGCCGAAG
This 3013-nucleotide ribosomal RNA is filed under the name Salmonella enterica subsp. enterica serovar Typhimurium. Its description in RNAcentral is "bacterial LSU rRNA". It matches the Rfam family "Bacterial large subunit ribosomal RNA". Lineage: Bacteria; Pseudomonadati; Pseudomonadota; Gammaproteobacteria; Enterobacterales; Enterobacteriaceae. RNAcentral also lists the same sequence under 2 other names. The record is from RNAcentral.